This 310-nucleotide small nuclear RNA is filed under the name Myotis davidii. Its description in RNAcentral is "7SK RNA". It matches the Rfam family "7SK RNA". From Rfam's summary of the family: 7SK was discovered as an abundant small nuclear RNA in the mid-70s but a possible function has only recently been suggested. Lineage: Eukaryota; Metazoa; Chordata; Mammalia; Chiroptera; Vespertilionidae. The record is from Rfam by way of RNAcentral.
GGAUGUGAGGGCGAUCUGGCUGCAACAUCUGUCACCCCAUUGAUCGCCAGGGUUGAUUCGGCUGAUCUGGCUGGCUAGGCAGUUGUCCCCCUCCUCCCUCACCGAUCCAUGUGCAUCCCUCCCUAAGCUGUGCGCUUGGUCGAAGAGGACGACCUUCCCCCCGAGGAGAGGACCGGUCUUCGGUCAAGGGUAUACGAGUAGCUGCGCUCCCCUGCUAGAACCUCCAAACAAGCUCUCAAAACUAUUCAGUUGGAGCAUAUGUCAUAUGUCCAAUCACAGCCUUCACAUAGGUGGGUAUGUGUGCAUGGUU